This is a non-coding RNA of Cephalotus follicularis, 46 nucleotides long. The record is from Rfam. NCBI's taxonomy places the organism in Eukaryota, Viridiplantae, Streptophyta, Magnoliopsida, Oxalidales, Cephalotaceae.
UUAGAGGUGCCACUAGGCACCCCCAACUUUUUAAAAAAAUGUUAAG